This 468-nucleotide ribosomal RNA is filed under the name uncultured bacterium. RNAcentral's name for it is "partial 16S ribosomal RNA". It matches the Rfam family "Bacterial small subunit ribosomal RNA", at positions 28 to 507 of the family's 1533-position model. The record is from RNAcentral.
GACGAACGCUGGCGGCGUGCUUAACACAUGCAAGUCGAACGGAAAGGCCCUGCUUUUGUUGGUUGCUCGAGUGGCGAACGGGUGAGUAACACGUGAGUAACCUGCCCUUGACUUUGGGAUAACUCCAGGAAACUGGGGCUAAUACCGGAUAGGAGCUCCUGCUGCAUGGUGGGGGUUGGAAAGUUUCGGCGGUUGGGGAUGGACUCGCGGCUUAUCAGCUUGUUGGUGGGGUAGUGGCUUACCAAGGCUUUGACGGGUAGCCGGCCUGAGAGGGUGACCGGCCACAUUGGGACUGAGAUACGGGCCAGACUCCUACGGGAGGCAGCAGUGGGGAAUAGUGCAAGAUGGGCGGAAGCCUGAUGCAGCAACGCCGCGUGCGGGAUGACGGCCUUCGGGUUGUAACCCGCUUUCGCCUGUGACGAAGCGUGAGUGACGGUAAUGGGUAAAGAAGCACCGGCUAACUACGUG